Molecule: long non-coding RNA, 1049 nt
Filed under: Equus asinus (donkey)
Lineage: Eukaryota; Metazoa; Chordata; Mammalia; Perissodactyla; Equidae
Description: lncRNA (ENSEASG00005031373.1, ENSEASG00020003540.1)
Source: RNAcentral
CUCUGGCUGGAGCCUUUUAACCACAGGAUGACUUGGAGAAAUUGCUCCUGCAUGUUGCCUGAAUUACAACCAACCCCAAAUCCUUAGAUUUUGGCAUCAUAGUUUCUCCCACUUCCUUACCUGGAAAAUCAGUUCGGCUCUCCUUAGACUAAUAGAAGGAAAAUUCUUCUCGAGUCUAAACAGACAUGAUUCCCAGCUCACUCUGCAGCAAUAUUUCCUGGCAGGGGCUACAACUCCUCAAGAGCCUAUGUUUUUCAAGCAUAUAAAAGCAUGCACCUGCUUCCUUACUAAUUCCCUGAAUAAGCCUCAGGGCUAACUCUAUUCACCUGCUUAAUGUCAAUCUUCUUAAACAUGGUUGCUUCAUAAGCCUUCACAAAGCUGAACUUGCAGUUCUACUUCCACUGACUUUGGGUCAAAUCCUGUUCUGCAUUAAUGCGAUCCUGUCAGAAGAGCCUUACACAGUUGGACUCUUGUAACUGUCUUUGGAUCUAUGCCACUCCUAGAACUUGAGAAGGCAAAGCUGCAUAAGGAAAAAGCUUUUGACCUUGGUCCUUCACACUGUCAUCUUACUCCAGACUGCAAAAAGACAGAAGUCUCUACUUACCACUGCUUUAUUGCAAUGUGACUCAACAAGACCCAGGGUGAAGAACUAGACAUUGAGACUGGAAGCAAUGGAAUCCUGAAAAGGAUAUUACAGUGGGAACAACAACCACUCAUUUGGAAAAUCUAAAUGCAUGGGAGCAAUUGGAUUCCAGGGUGGCAGUGGCCAAUGACAUCACUCAAUCACCAUGGACAAGGUAACAACUCUACUUAUAAGAACAAACUUUAGCCUGCUACCAGGCCUUAGCAGAGACUGAAUGCUUCAUCAUGGACCACCGAGAUAUCAAGUGACCUGAGUUAACAUCGUGAACUGGAUGUUAUCUGACCAACCAAACCAUAAAGAUGGACAUUCACAGCAAUACUACAUCAUGAAUUGGAAGUGGCAUACAGGCAUAUCUCAGAAAUAUUGUGGGUUUGGUUCCAGACCACCACAAUAAACUGAAUAUUGC